Molecule: ribosomal RNA, 23 nt
Filed under: Geranium crenophilum
Lineage: Eukaryota; Viridiplantae; Streptophyta; Magnoliopsida; Geraniales; Geraniaceae
Also listed under: 2 other names
Description: partial 26S ribosomal RNA
Source: RNAcentral
UGCGACCCCAGGUCAGGCGGGGC